This 430-nucleotide long non-coding RNA is filed under the name Callithrix jacchus (white-tufted-ear marmoset). Its description in RNAcentral is "lncRNA (ENSCJAG00000081030.1)". The record is from RNAcentral. Lineage: Eukaryota; Metazoa; Chordata; Mammalia; Primates; Cebidae.
AUUAUAGCAAAUGUUUGUUGAAAGCUUACUACAUGCCAAUCAUUGUUCUGAGCUCCUUACUUGUGUUAACUCAUUUUAUCCCAUAACAAUUCCAGGAAGCAAACACUGCUAUUAUCACUUUUAGGCAGAUGAAAGCACUGACAGUGAAGCGACUUGCCCAGAUCCUACAAAAAGAUUGAAAAUUUUCAAAAGAAAAAAAAAAGGAAGGAAGAGAGAAAAGGAAAUUGGCCCUCCUUCACGAAAAAGUUGAGAAGAGUGGUCUUUGAUGAAUCAGGCUUGGCCUAGCCCUUGCAGAUGGGUGAGACUUCCACAGCUAACUAUAUGGAACAAGGGUGGAACAAGGCCAGUCAGCAGCAUCUAUUCAAAAGGAGGGAUUCCGGGAACAAAUGAAGACAAAGACAGUUUGCACAGUCGGAAGACAGGAAGUUAA